RNAcentral lists this long non-coding RNA (1508 nucleotides) under Piliocolobus tephrosceles (Ugandan red Colobus). RNAcentral's name for it is "lncRNA (ENSPTEG00000010962.1)". The record is from RNAcentral. Lineage: Eukaryota; Metazoa; Chordata; Mammalia; Primates; Cercopithecidae.
CCCUUUAUUAUUAUUUUUUCCUUUUUUUUUUAAACUACAUUUAUUUUUAUCAUACAUAAACUUUAUGUCUGUCCAGCUCAUAACAGAGAUCGAAAGUGUCUGUAAGCAGAUAAAAUGUAUGGAAAAGGAAGAAAUUGAAUUGAAUAAUGACAUAUCAUGUGUUAACUUAAUGUGCAAAAAUGUUGAAGCAACAUUACAUAAUGAGUUCGUAAAAGUUGAAAUAGCAGCUCAAAAAAUGAAUCAAGUGGAAUAUAAUGAAGAAGAAAAAAAAAACAUAAACUCCGAUUUAGUUAAAUGUGAUAAUGAAAUAAAACAGUACUUAAAUAACAUGAAUACCAAUAAUGAUGAUAUCACAGAAUUAAAAGAAAUAAAAGAUAAGCAUUUUCUUUUAAAACAUAUUUCUAUAGAUGAUUUGUAUGAAAUUUACGAGGAAACAAAAGAAAAAUAUCAAGAAAACGCAUUCAAGAACCAAUGCCAACAAAUUGCUAUUGUUAAUUACAAAACCCAUUCUUAUUUUUGCAAUCCGACACACCUACUACAUAUGGCGUAUCUUCUUAUAGAAAAAGUAAAAGAUAAUAAUGAUGACCCUUACUUUAAUUUUACAAACAUUGCACGUUUUUACGGAUUGAAUGAAGAAGAAAAGAGUCAAACGAUUGAAAACUUUGGUUUAUCUGAACUGAAUAAAAUAAUGAUAAAUCAUUAUAAAUCUAAAAAAAUUCAUGUUAAUAGUACCAUAUAAUAUUUUAAAAUUUAGUUGUAUUUUUAUUAAAAAUUAUAUAUAUUUUUUUAUACAUCAUUCAUCCAUUAUUGAGUCUUCAUUUUUUUUUUUUUUUUUUUUUUAUUUUAUUAUUUUUGUUUCUAUUUGUUCCUUUUGUCCAUUUUUCUAUUUAUUUUUAUAAAUAUUAUUGUAAAGAUCCUUUUUAAUUUAUUUUAUAUUUUUUUAUUAUUUUAGUUCUACAGAGAGUUUAAGAAAAAAAAAAAUGAAUUCAUAAAAUUAUGUUAAAUUUUAUUUUUACUGAUAUUAAAAUUUAAAAAAAACCUUUUUUUUUUUUGUUAUAUAUGCAGUGUCACCAUUUUUUUUUUUUUUUUAAAUGGAUUUUGUAUACAAAGAAGUUUAUCUCUUUGUCUUAUUAAUAUUCAUUGAGAAACAAAAUAACGUUUUUUAAAAAUAGAAAAUAUAUACCUAUUCUGUUUUUUUUAUUUUACAAUUCUCAUUUUUGUUGUUUUGGUGUACAUUAUUUUUACUUAGAAAAUUUAACACUUUAAAAGUAGUCACAGUAUAGAUGAUGUGCUCAUUGCACAUUGGCCUGCCUCUGUUGACUCACCAGCCUAUUAAUAUAUACACAUACGUAUAUAUAUAUGUUUGUGAUAUCGUUGUGUGAUAGCGGAUAUUGCUAAUGUUAAAAAAAAAAAGGUAUACGAUUUUUAAAUAUAAGGAAAAUUUUUUCGUUUUAAAAAAAAAAAAAAAAAAAAAAAAAACUUAAUAAUAAAAAAAAAAAAAAAACACA